GACGAACGCUGGCGGCGUGCUUAACACAUGCAAGUCGAGCGGUAAGGCCCUUUCGGGGGUACACGAGCGGCGAACGGGUGAGUAACACGUGGGUGACCUGCCCUCAGCUCUGGGAUAAGCCUGGGAAACCGGGUCUAAAUACUGGAUAUGACUCCAUGACGCAUGUUGUGGGGUGGAAAGCCUUGUGCGGCUGAGGAUGGGCCCGCGGCCUAUCAGCUUGUUGGUGGGGUGANGGCCUACCAAGGCGACGACGGGUAGCCGGCCUGAGAGGGCGACCGGCACACUGGGACUGAGACACGGCCCAGACUCCUACGGGAGGCAGCAGUGGGGAAUCUUGCGCAAAUGGGACGAAAGCCUGACGCAGCGACGCCGCGUGAGGGAUGAC
This 385-nucleotide ribosomal RNA is filed under the name uncultured bacterium. RNAcentral describes it as "bacterial SSU rRNA". It matches the Rfam family "Bacterial small subunit ribosomal RNA", at positions 28 to 412 of the family's 1533-position model. The record is from RNAcentral.